AACGCGAAGAACCUUACCAAGGCUUGACAUAUAGCGAAAAGUGGCAGAGAUGUCAUGUCCGCAAGGGCGCUAUACAGGUGGUGCAUGGUUGUCGUCAGCUCGUGUCGUGAGAUGUUGGGUUAAGUCCCGCAACGAGCGCAACCCUCGUUCUGUGUUACCAGCAUUCAGUUGGGGACUCACAGGAGACUGCCGGGGUCAACUCGGAGGAAGGUGGGGAUGACGUCAAAUCAUCAUGCCCCUUAUGUCUUGGGCUGCACGCAUGCUACAAUGGCCGGUACAAAGUGCUGCGAGAUCGUAAGAUUGAGCGAAUCACAUAAAGCCGGUCUCAGUUCGGAUUGAGGUCUGCAACUCGACCCCAUGAAGUCGGAGUUGCUAGUAAUCGUAGAUCAGCAACGCUACGGUGAAUACGUUCCCGGGUCUUGUACACACCG
RNAcentral lists this ribosomal RNA (431 nucleotides) under uncultured bacterium. RNAcentral describes it as "bacterial SSU rRNA". It matches the Rfam family "Bacterial small subunit ribosomal RNA", at positions 958 to 1392 of the family's 1533-position model. The record is from RNAcentral.